Molecule: ribosomal RNA, 373 nt
Filed under: uncultured fungus
Lineage: Eukaryota; Fungi
Description: bacterial SSU rRNA
Rfam family: Eukaryotic small subunit ribosomal RNA
Source: RNAcentral
GUAGUCAUAUGCUUGUCUCUGAGACUAAGCCAUGCAUGUCUAAGUAUAAACAAAUUUGUACUGUAAAACUGCGGACGGCUCAUUAAAUCAGUUACAAUCUACUUGAUCGUAUAUUCAAAGAAUUAAUCGGGUAACCCUAGUAAUUCUAGAGCUAAUACGUGCAAAAAGCUCCGACCUCUUUUAACCGAGGGGAAAGAGUGUAUUUAUUAGGUAACUUAAAACCAAUCAGCCCAAAAGGCUGUUUUGUUGAUGAUUCAUAAUAACUUUGCAAAUCGCGGGCCAAUGUCUGCGAUGAUACAAACGAGUUUCUGACCUAUCAACUUUAGAUGGCAGGAUAGGGGCUUGCCAUGGUGACAACGGGUAACGGGGAAUA